RNAcentral lists this ribosomal RNA (429 nucleotides) under Gemmatimonadota bacterium. RNAcentral describes it as "Gemmatimonadetes bacterium partial 16S ribosomal RNA". It matches the Rfam family "Bacterial small subunit ribosomal RNA", at positions 355 to 776 of the family's 1533-position model. Lineage: Bacteria; Pseudomonadati; Gemmatimonadota. The record is from RNAcentral.
UAGGGAAUCUUCGGCAAUGGACGAAAGUCUGACCGAGCAACGCCGCGUGAGUGAAGAAGGUUUUCGGAUCGUAAAACUCUGUUGUUAGAGAAGAACAAGGACGUUAGUAACUGAACGUCCCCUGACGGUAUCUAACCAGAAAGCCACGGCUAACUACGUGCCAGCAGCCGCGGUAAUACGUAGGUGGCAAGCGUUGUCCGGAAUUAUUGGGCGUAAAGCGAGCGCAGGCGGUUUGUUAAGUCUGAUGUGAAAGCCCCCGGCUCAACCGGGGAGGGGCAUUGGAAACUGGGAGACUUGAGUGCAGAAGAGGAGAGUGGAAUUCCAUGUGUAGCGGUGAAAUGCGUAGAUAUAUGGAGGAACACCAGUGGCGAAGGCGGCUCUCUGGUCUGUAACUGACGCUGAGGCUCGAAAGCGUGGGGAGCAAACAGG